This 253-nucleotide ribosomal RNA is filed under the name uncultured bacterium. RNAcentral's name for it is "partial 16S ribosomal RNA". It matches the Rfam family "Bacterial small subunit ribosomal RNA", at positions 524 to 776 of the family's 1533-position model. The record is from RNAcentral.
UACAGAGGUCCCAAGCGUUGUUCGGAUUCACUGGGCGUAAAGGGUGCGUAGGUGGCCGGGUAAGUCUGACGUGAAAUCUCCAAGCUCAACUUGGAAACGGCGUCGGAUACUAUUCGGCUCGAGGAUCGGAGGGGAGACUGGAAUACUUGGUGUAGCAGUGAAAUGCGUAGAUAUCAAGUGGAACACCAGUGGCGAAGGCGAGUCUCUGGACGAUUCCUGACACUGAGGCACGAAAGCCAGGGGAGCAAACGGG